RNAcentral lists this unclassified non-coding RNA (328 nucleotides) under soil metagenome. Its description in RNAcentral is "partial contains 5.8S ribosomal RNA, internal transcribed spacer 2, and large subunit ribosomal RNA". The stretch from base 1 to 120 matches the Rfam family "5.8S ribosomal RNA", at positions 35 to 154 of the family's 154-position model. The record is from RNAcentral.
GAUGAAGAACGCAGCGAAAUGCGAUGAGUAGUGUGAAUUGCAGAAUUCAGUGAAUCAUCGAAUCUUUGAACGCACAUUGCGCCCCUUGGUAUUCCGAGGGGCAUGCCUGUUCGAGCGUCAUUAUAACCCCUCAAGCUCAGCUUGGUGUUGGGGCCUGCCGCACGGGCAGCCCUUAAAAUCAGUGGCGGUGCCAUCUGGCUCUAAGCGUAGUAAUUCUUCUCGCUAUAGAGUUCCGGUGGAUGCUUGCCAUUAACCCCCAAUUUUCUAUGGUUGACCUCGGAUCAGGUAGGGAUACCCGCUGAACUUAAGCAUAUCAAUAAGCGGAGGA